UGCCUGCCCAGUGACAUCGUUAAACGGCCGCGGUAUCCUGACCGUGCAAAGGUAGCAUAAUCAUUUGUUCUCUAAAUAAGGACUUGUAUGAAUGGCCACACGAGGGUUCUACUGUCUCUUACUUCCAAUCAGUGAAAUUGACCUUUCCGUGAAGAGGCGGAAAUAAGCCAAUAAGACGAGAAGACCCUAUGGAGCUUUAACUAACUAGCCUAAAGAAAAUAAAUACAACCACCAAGGGAUAAUAACACUCUCAAUAAGCUAGCAGUUUCGGUUGGGGUGACCUCGGAGAACAGAAAAUCCUCCGAACGAUUUUAAAGAUUAGACCAACAAGUCAAAUCACAAUAUCGCUCAUUGAUCCAAAGAAAUUUGAUCAACGGAACAAGUUACCCUAGGGAUAACAGCGCAAUCCUAUUCAAGAGUCCAUAUCGACAAUAGGGUUUACGACCUCGAUGUUGGAUCAGGACAUCCAGAUGGUGCAACCGCUAUCAAAGGUUCGUUUGUUCAACGAUUAAAGUCCUACGUGAUCUGAGUUCAAAACCCGGAGAA
This 546-nucleotide ribosomal RNA is filed under the name Moschus fuscus (dusky musk deer). RNAcentral's name for it is "partial 16S ribosomal RNA". It matches the Rfam family "Bacterial large subunit ribosomal RNA", at positions 1856 to 2625 of the family's 2925-position model. Lineage: Eukaryota; Metazoa; Chordata; Mammalia; Artiodactyla; Moschidae. The record is from RNAcentral.